This 460-nucleotide ribosomal RNA is filed under the name uncultured bacterium. Its description in RNAcentral is "partial 16S ribosomal RNA". It matches the Rfam family "Bacterial small subunit ribosomal RNA", at positions 338 to 795 of the family's 1533-position model. The record is from RNAcentral.
CCUACGGGAGGCAGCAGUGAGGAAUCUUCGUCAAUGGGCGUAAGCCUGAACCAGCCAAGUCGCGUGAGGGAUGAAGGUUCUAUGGAUCGUAAACCUCUUUUAUAAAGGAAUAAAGUGCGGGACGUGUCCCUUUUUGUAUGUACCUUAUGAAUAAGGAUCGGCUAACUCCGUGCCAGCAGCCGCGGUAAGACGGAGGAUCCGAGCGUUAUCCGGAUUUAUUGGGUUUAAAGGGUGCGUAGGCGGCCUUUUAAGUCAGUGGUGAAGGCCUGUGGCUCAACCUUAGAAUUGCAGUUGAAACUGGGAGGCUUGAGUAUGUUUGAGGCAGGCGGAAUGCGUGGUGUAGCGGUGAAAUGCUUAGAUAUCACGCAGAACCCCGAUUGCGAAGGCAGCCUGCCAAGCCAUGACUGACGCUGAUGCACGAAAGCGUGGGGAUCAAACAGGAUUAGAUACCCGGGUAGUC